Molecule: ribosomal RNA, 497 nt
Filed under: uncultured bacterium
Lineage: Bacteria
Description: partial 16S ribosomal RNA
Rfam family: Bacterial small subunit ribosomal RNA
Source: RNAcentral
GAUGAACGCUGGCGGCGUGCCUAAUACAUGCAAGUCGAGCGAACAGACUAGGAGCUUGCUCCUCUGACGUUAGCGGCGGACGGGUGAGUAACACGUGGAUAACCUACCUAUAAGACUGGGAUAACUUCGGGAAACCGGAGCUAAUACCGGAUAAUAUAUUGAACCGCAUGGUUCAAUAGUGAAAGACGGUUUUGCUUUCACUUAUAGAUGGAUCCGCGCCGCAUUAGCUAGUUGGUAAGGUAACGGCUUACCAAGGCAACGAUGCGUAGCCGACCUGAGAGGGUGAUCGGCCACACUGGAAAUGAGACACGGUCCAGACUCCUACGGGAGGCAGCAGUAGGGAAUCUUCCGCAAUGGGCGAAAGCCUGACGGAGCAACGCCGCGUGAGUGAUGAAGGUCUUCGGAUCGUAAAACUCUGUUAUUAGGGAAGAACAAAUGUGUAAGUAACUAUGCACGUCUUGACGGUACCUAAUCAGAAAGCCACGGCUAACUACGUG